AGUCGAGAAUUUUUCUCAAUGGGCGCAAGCCUGAAGGAGCGACGCCGCGUGGGGGAUGAAGGGUUUCGAUCCGUAAACCCCUGUCAUUUGUGAACAAGGCUGAUCCGAUAACACCGGAGCAGUUGAUAGUAAUGAAAGAGGAAGGGACGGCUAACUCUGUGCCAGCAGCCGCGGUAAUACAGAGGUCCCGAGCGUUGUUCGGAUUCACUGGGCGUAAAGGGUGCGCAGGUGGCCAGGCAAGUCGGAUGUGAAAGCUCCGGGCUCAACCCGGAAAUGGCAUUGGAAACUGCCUGGCUGGAGGUUUGGAGGGGGGACUGGAAUUCUCGGUGUAGCAGUGAAAUGCGUAGAGAUCGAGAGGAACACCAGUGGCGAAGGCGGGUCCCUGGACAACACCUGACACUGAGGCACGAAAGCUAGGGGAGCAAA
This 426-nucleotide ribosomal RNA is filed under the name uncultured Verrucomicrobiota bacterium. Its description in RNAcentral is "bacterial SSU rRNA". It matches the Rfam family "Bacterial small subunit ribosomal RNA", at positions 353 to 772 of the family's 1533-position model. Lineage: Bacteria; Pseudomonadati; Verrucomicrobiota. The record is from RNAcentral.